UGCUCACAAGACAGCCAAGCUUCAAGACUGAAAAGAAAAUACCCAGCAAAGCAACCAUGAUUCAUAUCCCGUGCAAUAGUUCUAAUAUCAACCAUUGAUUUAAUCCAAUGGUUGUAAAGGGUUGCCACAUCAUCGAUCCGUGUCUCACUAUUUUGUUUCUCCACUUUCUCCCACUUCACUUCCCUUUCUCUUUCUUUUUCAGAUUCACCAGCGGUGCUUGCCGGCCUGACCUUCUCUCUCAACGUCUCUCUGUUUUCUCGUUCUCUCAAGUCCAACUGUUGCGAAGCUUCUGCUUGCCCCUUCUCUAGCAGUGCUUCUUAGCGGCGUCACCAGCGCUGGUGGCCGUCAGUCAAGAAGCAGGAGGCACACUAGCUGGAACUUAAUGAGCAGGUCAUGCCACUUACGGUUGUUAAAGAACUUGAUCUUGAAGCUUACAAGACCUUCUUUUUUCUUUUGUGGGAAUUGUGUAUUAUGAAUUUAUGAUGAUGGGAAGAUUUGUUUCUUGUUAACGAAGUGUAUAUUUCAACAAAACUGUUGUUAUAUGGCCUUGUGGUCAAAGUGUACAUUCUAAUAAGGUUCUGUUCAUUUUUAGAUCGAAUUCAUUUCUUGUCUA
Molecule: long non-coding RNA, 613 nt
Organism: Quercus robur (English oak)
Lineage: Eukaryota; Viridiplantae; Streptophyta; Magnoliopsida; Fagales; Fagaceae
Exons: 2
Source: RefSeq, a predicted model, not a curated record